This 221-nucleotide long non-coding RNA is filed under the name Lathyrus oleraceus (garden pea). RNAcentral's name for it is "Pisum sativum (pea) long non-coding RNA (PSAT_LNC002212)". Lineage: Eukaryota; Viridiplantae; Streptophyta; Magnoliopsida; Fabales; Fabaceae. The record is from RNAcentral.
GAAAACAUUGUCUAAUACCUUAAGCAUUCUGCAACAUAUUUUUCUUAAAAAUAAAAUUUAUCUAACCUGGACUUAAGAAAUUGCAGAAAGUUUCAGAAACCUCUGUACUUAAGAAACUCUGGUAAGAACUUCUGAACUCCCUAGCAUUAUCUCAGGGGGAGCUUCUGUCUAUCUGAUCUAAUAUUAUUCAUGUUUCAUCUGCUAAUUAAGGUUGUUUUGUC